AUACGUAGGGGGCGAGCGUUGUCCGGAAUGAUUGGGCGUAAAGGGCGCGUAGGCGGCCUGUUAAGUCUGGAGUGAAAGUCCUGUUUUCAAGAUGGGAAUUGCUUUGGAUACUGAUGGGCUUGAGUGCAGGAGAGGUUAUCGGAAUUCCCGGUGUAGCGGUGAAAUGCGUAGAGAUUGGGAGGAACACCAGUGGCGAAGGCGACUUACUGGACUGUAACUGACGCUGAGGCGCGAAAGUGUGGGGAGCAAACAGGAUUAGAUACCCUGGUAGUCCACACUGUAAACGAUGAAUGCUAGGUGUAGGGGGUAUCGACCCCUUCUGUGCCGCAGUCAACACAAUAAGCAUUCCGCCUGGGGAGUACGGCCGCAAGGUUGAAACUCAAAGGAAUUGGCGGGG
RNAcentral lists this ribosomal RNA (397 nucleotides) under uncultured bacterium. Its description in RNAcentral is "partial 16S ribosomal RNA". It matches the Rfam family "Bacterial small subunit ribosomal RNA", at positions 523 to 918 of the family's 1533-position model. The record is from RNAcentral.